This 210-nucleotide long non-coding RNA is filed under the name Lathyrus oleraceus (garden pea). RNAcentral describes it as "Pisum sativum (pea) long non-coding RNA (PSAT_LNC023152)". The record is from RNAcentral. Lineage: Eukaryota; Viridiplantae; Streptophyta; Magnoliopsida; Fabales; Fabaceae.
AUAGUUUAUCAACCCAACCUUGUUUCUAGACAAUUUGGUCUAAUCCAAAUCAAACCUCAGCCUAUAUUCCCCAAAAAGGGGUCCAUCAUCUUUUAUAACUCCCUUCAUACUGAAGACGAAGGCAAAGAGCUGUCGAAGAAACUAGCUGAUGCUUCUCUCGACAUUCGACCAGUUAUUUUUCGACCAUCAUUCUUAUGCACUCCUGAGUUU